RNAcentral lists this ribosomal RNA (253 nucleotides) under uncultured bacterium. RNAcentral's name for it is "partial 16S ribosomal RNA". It matches the Rfam family "Bacterial small subunit ribosomal RNA", at positions 524 to 776 of the family's 1533-position model. The record is from RNAcentral.
UACGAAGGGGGCUAGCGUUGUUCGGAAUUACCGGGCGUAAAGGGCGCGCAGGCGGCCCUCCAAGUCAGGCGUGAAAGCCCCGGGCUCAACCCGGGAACAGCGCUUGAGACUGGGGGGCUUGAGUUCGGGAGAGGAGAGUGGAAUUCCCAGUGUAGAGGUGAAAUUCGUAGAUAUUGGGAAGAACACCGGUGGCGAAGGCGGCUCUCUGGACCGACACUGACGCUGAGGCGCGAAAGCGUGGGGAGCAAACAGG